RNAcentral lists this ribosomal RNA (443 nucleotides) under uncultured bacterium. RNAcentral's name for it is "partial 16S ribosomal RNA". It matches the Rfam family "Bacterial small subunit ribosomal RNA", at positions 28 to 507 of the family's 1533-position model. The record is from RNAcentral.
GAUGAACGCUGGCGGCAUGCCUAACACAUGCAAGUCGAUCGGUAAGGCUCUUCGGAGUACACGAGAGGCGGACGGCUGAGUAACGCGUAGGAACACACCCUGCAGUGAGGGAUAAGACACCGAAAGGUGUUCUAAUACCGCAUACGGUCUUCGGAUUAAAGCAUUUAUGCGCUGAAGGAGUGGCCUGCGUCAUAUUAGAUAGUUGGUGAGGUAAUGGCUCACCAAGUCGAUGAUGUGUAGCUGGUCUGAGAGGAUGAUCAGCCAGACUGGAACUGGGACACGGUCCAGACUCCUACGGGAGGCAGCAGUGAGGAAUAUUUCACAAUGAGCGAAAGCUUGAUGGAGCAAUGCCGCGUGCAGGAUGAAGGCCCUCGGGUUGUAAACUGCUUUUAUAAGAGAAGAUUAUGACGGUAACUUAUGAAUAAGGGACGGCUAACUACGUG